UACGGAGGGAGCUAGCGUUGUUCGGAAUUACUGGGCGUAAAGCGCGCGUAGGCGGCUUUGUAAGUUAGAGGUGAAAGCCCGGGGCUCAACCCCGGAAUUGCCUUUAAGACUGCAUCGCUUGAAUCCGGGAGAGGUGAGUGGAAUUCCGAGUGUAGAGGUGAAAUUCGUAGAUAUUCGGAAGAACACCAGUGGCGAAGGCGACACACUGGCCCGUUACUGACGCUGAGGCGCGAAAGCGUGGGGAGCAAACAGG
This 253-nucleotide ribosomal RNA is filed under the name uncultured bacterium. Its description in RNAcentral is "partial 16S ribosomal RNA". It matches the Rfam family "Bacterial small subunit ribosomal RNA", at positions 524 to 776 of the family's 1533-position model. The record is from RNAcentral.